UAAGUAAGUGGUGGAAAUUAAACCAAAUGGGAUAUCUUUAGUAAUUGCGAAUGAACAAGGAUAUGCUUAGCUUGACAAAUGGAGCUAUUGGCUUUGAAUUGUAUUUGUGGAAUGUAUUACCAACAGAGGUGCAGGUGCCAGCCUAUUAAAUAAAGCGUCAAUGAGGGUGAGAAUCCUGUUUGUCAUGUGCAGCCCUUUGUGCACGGUGUAUAUUUGCUGAGUCACACUCCUUGGCAUUGGAAUGCAAAGUGGGUGGUAAGUUUCAUGUACAGGUAAACAUGCAAUUGAGACUGAUAGCACACAAGUACCAUGAGGGAAAUAUGAAAAGGACUUUGAAAAGAGAAUUAAAUGAGUUUGUAUUUGCUGAACACAAAGUAAACAGACUUGAUUUGCUUGGUGGGAGUGUUGCACUUGCUUGACAAGAGCUUUGGGCUGUGGGUGUAAUGAUUCUUUCUUUGCAUGCCAGUUUCUAUGUGUACAUCUGAUUACCUUUGCACAUGAAUGAUAAGUCUCCUGUGGGGGGUGGAUUGCAUGUGCAUGUAAUGAUUUGUGUUUUGAUACAUGUGUCUGGUGUAUGUGUGUGUGUUCCUGUGCUUGGGGAUGCUUCCUUCCUUGGACUUACAAGCCCUGACACACACAUGCUGGCAAAAUGCUUCUGCUUGACCCG
This 667-nucleotide ribosomal RNA is filed under the name Alexandrium tamarense. RNAcentral's name for it is "eukaryotic LSU rRNA". It matches the Rfam family "Eukaryotic large subunit ribosomal RNA", at positions 43 to 651 of the family's 3401-position model. Lineage: Eukaryota; Dinophyceae; Gonyaulacales; Pyrocystaceae. The record is from RNAcentral.